CCUACGGGAGGCAGCAGUGGGGAAUAUUGGACAAUGGGCGCAAGCCUGAUCCAGCCACGCCGUGUGGGUGAUGAAGGCCUUCGGGUCGUAAAGCCCUGUCGGAAGGAGAGAAGCUUUCGUUGGCUAACAUCCAACGGAGGUGACGGUACCUUCAAAGGAAGCACCGGCUAACUCUGUGCCAGCAGCCGCGGUAAGACAGAGGGUGCAAGCGUUGUUCGGAAUCAUUGGGCGUAAAGCGCACGUAGGCGGUCGCGUAAGUCGGACGUGAAAUCCCUGGGCUCAACCCAGGAAGUGCAUCCGAUACUGCGCGACUUGAGUCCCGGAGAGGAUGGUGGAAUUCCUGGUGUAGAGGUGAAAUUCGUAGAUAUCAGGAGGAACACCGGUGGCGAAGGCGACCAUCUGGACGGAGACUGACGCUGAGGUGCGAAAGCGUGGGGAGC
RNAcentral lists this ribosomal RNA (440 nucleotides) under uncultured bacterium. RNAcentral describes it as "bacterial SSU rRNA". It matches the Rfam family "Bacterial small subunit ribosomal RNA", at positions 338 to 769 of the family's 1533-position model. The record is from RNAcentral.